Non-coding RNA from Pelobates cultripes (western spadefoot toad), 311 nucleotides. The record is from the annotation of a GenBank genome assembly. NCBI's taxonomy places the organism in Eukaryota, Metazoa, Chordata, Amphibia, Anura, Pelobatidae.
GCAUCUUCCGAACAUGCUCCAAUGAGGGAAUUAAGGAAGGCACAUUGUCCUUGUAACGUGGAUCCAGCAGGGUGGCCACCCAAUAAUCAGCACAAGUUAGAAUGUGGGCAACUCGGCAGUCAUUGGUGACUCUAGAUAACCUCGGGCCGAUCGCACAUCCCCGUGAAGGGGAUGACGCAUUUGUAUGUCUGCCCUAUCAAUUUUCGAUGGUACUUUCUGCACCUACCAUGGUGACCACUGGUAACGGGGAAUCAGGGUUCGAUUCCGGAGAGUUAGCCUGAGAAACGGCUACCACAUCCAAGGAAGGCAGC